Long non-coding RNA from Pygocentrus nattereri (red-bellied piranha), 1148 nucleotides. The record is from Ensembl. NCBI's taxonomy places the organism in Eukaryota, Metazoa, Chordata, Actinopteri, Characiformes, Serrasalmidae.
AGCUGAACCUCCUUUUCAGGUAAAAUAGGCCAGUCCAAACCAGUUUGAGUGCAUGUGAAGCUCAGCAGCUUGGCUUAAUAAAAAGAGGAACAAAGAGCACUUCAGGAACAUGGUGAGUGAAUCUGAGCUGAUGUUUAUGAACGGUGUAAUUCUGCAUUUGAUAACGAGCAGUUCUGUCGGUUUUUACUGAAGCCUUAUCUGAAGGGGGUUGUGUGGGUGCAGCCAAUGAAUGGAGGAAGUUACCACUUUCCUGGUGUUUCCUCUGAAAUGAAGGUGUUGAUAGUGAGUCUACUCUUCUGGAAAGGCUUCUAGAUGUUGAAUGUUAAUAAUGUCAAUAAACAAAUACUACAUACAGACACUAUAAACACAAAGAACAAAGUAAAAACAGCAAUACUGCAGUUAUAUUCCACUGAUGAUGUUACCUGUAUAGAAUGCAGAGUAACAGUGUCAGAUAUAAAGGUAAUCUCAUUGUAAUGUGGCACCUGUGAGACGUCCAUCCCUGCAGGUAUACGUUUUGUUCAUGUGAUAAAUUUGCCAGUGUCUUAUUACCACGCAAUACAAGGGGCAGUUACAGUUUGGUGAUGGUGCAAUACUCUGACCUAACAAGGAUGUCCAACUGCACCACUCCCACUUGUUUAACCUGUUUGCUGUGAUUGGUCAAGCAGCCCCUCUUCCUGUCCUCUUCAGCCUGUGAGUAAUCUUCUACUGCUACAUCCUGUGGUGAUGAGCUAAUCCAGUCCAACCCGGUUAAAAGUGGAAUUUUUCAUUGGUGACUUUAUGAAGAGAAAGGAUCAGAAAUAGUCUUUGGUGAGAAAGAAAUUUCAACUGCCCAAAUAAAGUUACUGACUUGACCAAUAACUUUUCAGCUAGAAGAUGGAAGCUUCCACUCACACCGAUCCUGUCCCAACCAAGAUAACAGCUCAGACAGGGGGAAACAUCUGUGCUCCUCUUCUCCAUGGAAAUCAUUUUCAAGGCUCGGUUACAGUUGUGAACAUAACUGGAGGUCAGGAAGCUUCUAGUUUAAGUAUAAGCAAUGUUCAGGCUGAAGGCUCUCCCGAUGCUCCUGCUCUCAGUGAAGGUAAGGUGUAUGUGCAUUGCUUAGAAAAUAGUAUUCAACGGUCUUUGUUUUUAUGUUUUAUUAUCAUGGA